UACGGGGGGGGCAAGCGUUGUUCGGAAUUACUGGGCGUAAAGGGCUCGUAGGCGGCCAACUAAGUCAUACGUGAAAUCCCUCGGCUUAACCGGGGAACUGCGUCUGAUACUGGAUGGCUUGAGUUCGGGAGAGGGAUGCGGAAUUCCAGGUGUAGCGGUGAAAUGCGUAGAUAUCUGGAGGAACACCGGUGGCGAAGGCGGCGAUCCUAGGGACCGGAUACGUACCGCUGAUGAGCGAAAGCCAGGGGAGCAAAACGGG
This 259-nucleotide ribosomal RNA is filed under the name uncultured bacterium. Its description in RNAcentral is "partial 16S ribosomal RNA". It matches the Rfam family "Bacterial small subunit ribosomal RNA", at positions 524 to 777 of the family's 1533-position model. The record is from RNAcentral.